Molecule: ribosomal RNA, 309 nt
Filed under: uncultured bacterium
Lineage: Bacteria
Description: bacterial SSU rRNA
Rfam family: Bacterial small subunit ribosomal RNA
Source: RNAcentral
GAUGAACGCUAGCGGCAGGCUUAACACAUGCAAGUCGAGGGGUAACAUUGUAGCUUGCUACAGAUGACGACCGGCGCACGGGUGCGUAACGCGUAUAGAACCUACCUUUUACUUAGGGAUAGCCCAGAGAAAUUUGGAUUAAUACCUUAUGGUAUUAUUGAAUGGCAUCAUUUAAUAAUUAAAGAUUUAUUGGUAAAAGAUGGCUAUGCGUUCUAUUAGUUAGUUGGUAAGGUAACGGCUUACCAAGACAUCGAUAGAUAGGGGUCCUGAGAGGGAGAUCCCCCACACUGGUACUGAGACACGGACCAG